AGAGAACUGACUCCCAAAAGUUGUUCUGUGAUCUCCACAUGUGCACAGCGUGUAAACAUCGCUUUUAUUUCCUCAGAUGAAGUGAUGAAAUGAGAGCCAUAUCCAAGCUGUAUAAUCCAGGCUAAUCUCAUGUCAAAGUCUCCAAGUUAAAAACAACUUCAGAAUUCCUUUCCAUAGGUUUCGCUCUUAUGGAAGAGGCUGUGGGAGUGCCCUUGGCCCCGAAGGAGUGAAGAUGCAGCAAGAUGGUGUGGGCUUUGAAACAAGGAAGGAAUUCAUCAGACGCUGGACUUACCAGCACCUUGGUAUUUAAACUUUUCAGUCUCUAGUACUG
Mastomys coucha (southern multimammate mouse) is the source of this 331-nucleotide long non-coding RNA. RefSeq lists it as uncharacterized. The transcript has 3 exons. The record is from RefSeq and is a predicted model, not a curated record. Lineage: Eukaryota; Metazoa; Chordata; Mammalia; Rodentia; Muridae.